GAUGAACGCUGGCGGCGUGCUUAACACAUGCAAGUCGAACGAAGCAUUUUAGCGGAACAUUUUCGGAUGGGAAGUUAAAAUGACUGAGUGGCGGACGGGUGAGUAACGCGUGGAUAACCUACCAUAUACAGGGGGACAACAGUUGGAAACGACUGCUAAUACCGCAUAAGCGCACAGUGCCGCAUGGCACGGUGUGAAAAACUCCGGUGGUAUAUGAUGGAUCCGCGUCUGAUUAGCUAGUUGGUGAGGUAACGGCCCACCAAGGCAACGAUCAGUAGCCGACCUGAGAGGGUGACCGGCCACAUUGGGACUGAGACACGGCCCAAACUCCUACGGGAGGCAGCAGUGGGGAAUAUUGCACAAUGGGCGAAAGCCUGAUGCAGCGACGCCGCGUGAGCGAAGAAGUAUUUCGGUAUGUAAAGCUCUAUCAGCAGGGAAGAAAAUGGCGGUACCUGACUAAGAAGCCCCGGCUAACUACGUGCCAGCAGCCGC
Molecule: ribosomal RNA, 492 nt
Filed under: uncultured bacterium
Lineage: Bacteria
Description: bacterial SSU rRNA
Rfam family: Bacterial small subunit ribosomal RNA
Source: RNAcentral